Molecule: ribosomal RNA, 258 nt
Filed under: uncultured bacterium
Lineage: Bacteria
Description: partial 16S ribosomal RNA
Rfam family: Bacterial small subunit ribosomal RNA
Source: RNAcentral
CGGGUGAGUAACACGUGAGUGACCUGCCUUUUAGACUGGAACAACUUACCGAAAGGUGAGCUAAUGCCGGAUGAGUUAUAUAAGUGCAUGUUUAUAUAGGAAAAGUUGGGGAGACCUGACGCUGAAAGAUGGACUCGCGUCCCAUUAGCUAGUUGGUAGGGUAAUGGCCUACCAAGGCGACGAUGGGUAGCCGGCCUNAGAGGGUGGCCGGCCANACUGGGACUGAGACACGGCCCAGACUCCUACGGAAGGCAGCAG